ACGAACCACACGAACGUUAUUCGGAAUUACUGGGCUUAAAGGGUGCGUAGGCGGCCUGACAAGUUGGGUGUGAAAUACCUCGGCUUAACCGAGGAAUGGCGCUCAAAGCUGUCGGGCUUGAGGGAGAUAGAGGUGAGCGGAACUUAAGGUGGAGCGGUGAAAUGCGUUGAUAUCUUAAGGAACACCCGUGGCGAAAGCGGCUCACUGGAUCUCAUCUGACGCUGAUGCACGAAAGCCAGGGGAGCAAACG
RNAcentral lists this ribosomal RNA (250 nucleotides) under uncultured bacterium. Its description in RNAcentral is "partial 16S ribosomal RNA". It matches the Rfam family "Bacterial small subunit ribosomal RNA", at positions 525 to 774 of the family's 1533-position model. The record is from RNAcentral.